Molecule: ribosomal RNA, 424 nt
Filed under: uncultured bacterium
Lineage: Bacteria
Description: bacterial SSU rRNA
Rfam family: Bacterial small subunit ribosomal RNA
Source: RNAcentral
AGGGAAUCUUCCGCAAUGGGCGAAAGCCUGACGGAGCAACGCCGCGUGAGUGAUGAAGGUUUUCGGAUCGUAAAGCUCUGUUGCCAGGGAAGAACGUCUCAUAGAGUAACUGCUAUGAGAGUGACGGUACCUGAGAAGAAAGCCCCGGCUAACUACGUGCCAGCAGCCGCGGUAAUACGUAGGGGGCAAGCGUUGUCCGGAAUUAUUGGGCGUAAAGCGCGCGCAGGCGGUUCUUUAAGUCUGGUGUUUAAACCCGAGGCUCAACUUCGGGACGCACUGGAAACUGGGGAACUUGAGUGCAGAAGAGGAGAGUGGAAUUCCACGUGUAGCGGUGAAAUGCGUAGAUAUGUGGAGGAACACCAGUGGCGAAGGCGACUCUCUGGGCUGUAACUGACGCUGAGGCGCGAAAGCGUGGGGAGCGAAC